CCCAUUGGCUCGGUCGCCUGCUCCGGGCCCCGCCCCCACAGGCGCGCGGCCCAACCGCCCCGAAAGGAUUUCCAUGGGCUAGGAAUCUGGGUGAGGUUAGCUGUGUCCUCUGGCUCAGGCUCUCAUGAGGAUACAAUCAAGCUGUCAGCCAGGGCUGCAGCUCUCUCAAGGCUUCAGAAUCCUCUUUCAAACUCACUUCCACUGCUGCUGGCAGGCCUGAGGUCCUCUCUGGCUGUUGGCUGGAGACAUCAUUUCCUGUCCACUUCCACCUCUUGCUUUUUGAAUCUCUUACUCACCAAACCUAGUCUCUCUGUGAAGACCUGCUCUGCCUUAAUCAAUAUUUUCCCCAUAGACCCAGUGAGAGGGGAGGAACAGGAAGAGAAGAGUGUGGCCUCCUAGAAAUCUAGCACUGGAGAAAGCCUCCCAAAGUGCUGGGAUUACAGGAGUGAACCACCAAGCCCGGCCUGACCUCUUGGCUAUUACCAAAGUAUGUUUGCUUCUGAGGAAGCUGGAAGCUGCAGCCACAAUGUGCCUUUGCAGGGGAGCCUGAGAGCCACAGGUUCAAGCGAUUCUCUUCAGCCUCCUGAGUAGCUGGGA
RNAcentral lists this long non-coding RNA (597 nucleotides) under Homo sapiens (human). RNAcentral's name for it is "HSALNT0341258". The record is from RNAcentral. Lineage: Eukaryota; Metazoa; Chordata; Mammalia; Primates; Hominidae.